RNAcentral lists this ribosomal RNA (506 nucleotides) under uncultured bacterium. RNAcentral's name for it is "bacterial SSU rRNA". It matches the Rfam family "Bacterial small subunit ribosomal RNA", at positions 28 to 532 of the family's 1533-position model. The record is from RNAcentral.
GAUGAACGCUAGCGGGAGGCUUAACACAUGCAAGUCGAGGGGUAAAUGGUAGCAAUACUAUGAGACCGGCGGACGGGUGCGUAACGCGUAUGCAACAUACCUUUAGCAGGGGGAUAGCCCGUGGAAACGCGGAUUAAUAUUCCAUAGUCCAGCAGUAUCGCAUGGUACCACUGGUAAAGAUUAAUCGGCUAAAGAUUGGCAUGCGUCUGAUUAGUUAGUUGGUAGGGUAACGGCCUACCAAGGCGACGAUCAGUAGGGGUUCUGAGAGGAUUACCCCCCACACUGGUACUGAGACACGGACCAGACUCCUACGGGAGGCAGCAGUGAGGAAUAUUGGUCAAUGGGCGGAAGCCUGAACCAGCCCAUCCCGCGUGAAGGAAGACAGCCUUACGGGUUGUAAACUUCUUUUCUGUUUGAAGAAUAAGCCCGUUGAGACGGGUGAUGCCGGUAGGACAGGAAUAAGCAUCGGCUAACUCCGUGCCAGCAGCCGCGGUAAUUGUAGUCGU